UGGGGAAUAUUGCACAAUGGGCGAAAGCCUGAUGCAGCAACGCCGCGUGCGGGAAGAAGGCCCUAGGGUUGUAAACCGCUUUCAGCAGGGAAGAAAAUGACGGUACCUACAGAAGAAGGUGCGGCCAACUACGUGCCAGCAGCCGCGGUGACACGUAGGCACCAAGCGUUGUCCGGAUUUAUUGGGCGUAAAGAGCUCGUAGGCGGUUCAGUAAGUCGGGUGUGAAAACUCUGGGCUCAACCCAGAGACGCCACCCGAUACUGCUGUGACUUGAGUACGGUAGGGGAGUGGGGAAUUCCUGGUGUAGCGGUGAAAUGCGCAGAUAUCAGGAGGAACACCAGUGGCGAAGGCGCCACUCUGGGCCGUAACUGACGCUGAGGAGCGAAAGCGUGGGGAGCAAACAGGAUUAGAUACCCGGGUAGUCCCUGAGCGGGCUGGCAAGGCG
RNAcentral lists this ribosomal RNA (445 nucleotides) under uncultured bacterium. Its description in RNAcentral is "bacterial SSU rRNA". It matches the Rfam family "Bacterial small subunit ribosomal RNA", at positions 355 to 822 of the family's 1533-position model. The record is from RNAcentral.